AACCAGUGAUACCUCUAGUUGGCUUCAAUGUUAGCUGCAGAAAAUGACCUUUGUGGACCUUUACCUCCAGGCUGGGAAAAAAGGAUGGAUUCAACAGACAGGGUCUACUUUGUGAAUCAUAAAACAAAAACAACCCAGUGGGAAGAUCCAGGAACUCAAGGCUUCCAGAACGCAGAACCCCUGCCAGAAGGCUGGGAAUUUUGUAUACUCAUGAGAGUGUUAGGUACUUUGUUGAUCAUAACACAAGAACAACAGCAUUUCAAGAUCCUUGCAAUAGGAAGUCAUUUGCAACUAAAGAUAGACCACAAAUUGCUUAUGAUUACAGCUUUAGGUGGAAACUUGCUCACUUCUAGUAUCUGUGCCAGUCUAAUGCACUACCGAGUCAUGUAAAGGUCAGUGUGUCCCGGCAGACAUUGUCUGAAGAUUCCUUCCAACAGAUUAUGACAUUAAAACCCAAGGCUUGUGGCAGUUAUAUAUAAUAUUUAGAGAAGAAGAAGAACUUCAUUAUCGUGGCCUAGCAAAAGAAUGGUUUCCUUGCUUUCAUAUGAAGUUUUGAACCCAAUGUAUUGCUUAUUUGAGUAUAUGGGCAAGAACAACUAUUGUCUGCAAAGAAAUCCAGCAUCAACCAUUAAUCCAGACCAUCUCUUAUGCUUCUGUUGUAUUGGUCAUUUUAGUGCCAUGAUGCUAUUUCAUGAAAAGUUUAUUGAUGGUGGUCUCUAGUUACCAUUCCAUAAGUGUAUGUUAAGUACAAAUCUUUUUAU
This 761-nucleotide long non-coding RNA is filed under the name Homo sapiens (human). RNAcentral describes it as "non-protein coding lnc-CTNNA3-7:1". The record is from RNAcentral. Lineage: Eukaryota; Metazoa; Chordata; Mammalia; Primates; Hominidae.